GACGAACGCUGGCGGCGUGCUUAACACAUGCAAGUCGAACGGAAAGGCCCUGCUUUUGUGGGGUGCUCGAGUGGCGAACGGGUGAGUAACACGUGAGUAACCUGCCCUUGACUUUGGGAUAACUUCAGGAAACUGGGGCUAAUACCGGAUAGGAGCUCCUGCUGCAUGGUGGGGGUUGGAAAGUUUCGGCGGUUGGGGAUGGACUCGCGGCUUAUCAGCUUGUUGGUGGGGUAGUGGCUUACCAAGGCUUUGACGGGUAGCCGGCCUGAGAGGGUGACCGGCCACAUUGGGACUGAGGUACGGCCCAGACUCCUACGGGAGGCAGCAGUCGGGAAUAUUGCACAAUGGGCGGAAGCCUGAUGCAGCAACGCCGCGUGCGGGAUGACGGCCUUCGGGUUGUAAACCGCUUUCGCCUGUGACGAAGCGUGAGUGACGGUAAUGGGUAAAGAAGCACCGGCUAACUACGUG
RNAcentral lists this ribosomal RNA (468 nucleotides) under uncultured bacterium. RNAcentral describes it as "partial 16S ribosomal RNA". It matches the Rfam family "Bacterial small subunit ribosomal RNA", at positions 28 to 507 of the family's 1533-position model. The record is from RNAcentral.